GAUGAAGGAGGAGCUUGCUCCUCCGGAUUAGUGGCGAACGGGUGAGUAAUACGUGAGCAAUGUGCCCUUGACUCUGGGAUAAGCGCUGGAAACGGCGUCUAAUACCGGAUACGACGAUCGGAGGCAUCUCCUGGUCGUGGAAAGAACUUCGGUCAAGGAUCAGCUCACGGCCUAUCAGCUAGUUGGUGAGGUAACGGCUCACCAAGGCGACGACGGGUAGCCGGCCUGAGAGGGUGACCGGCCACACUGGGACUGAGACACGGCCCAGACUCCUACGGGAGGCAGCAGUGGGGAAUAUUGCACAAUGGGCGCAAGCCUGAUGCAGCAACGCCGCGUGAGGGACGAAGGCCUUCGGGUUGUAAACCUCUUUUAGCAGGGAAGAAGCGAAAGUGACGGUACCUGCAGAAAAAGCACCGGCUAACUACGUGCCAGCAGCCGCGGUAAUACGUAGGGUGCAAGCGUUGUCCGGAAUUAUUGGGCGUAAAGAGCUCGUAGGCGGUUUGUCACGUCUGCUGUGAAAACCCGAGGCUCAACCUCGGGCUUGCAGUGGGUACGGGCAGACUAGAGUGCGGUAGGGGAGAUUGGAAUUCCUGGUGUAGCGGUGGAAUGCGCAGAUAUCAGGAGGAACACCGAUGGCGAAAGCAGAUCUCUGGGCCGUAACUGACGCUGAGGAGCGAAAGCAUGG
RNAcentral lists this ribosomal RNA (685 nucleotides) under bacterium 41-L049393-122-001-A06. RNAcentral's name for it is "bacterial SSU rRNA". It matches the Rfam family "Bacterial small subunit ribosomal RNA", at positions 68 to 764 of the family's 1533-position model. The record is from RNAcentral.